ACUAUUUUGGCAGAAAAAUGUAAUGAUUUUAGAAGUCAUCAAUGUAUAAUUAAUUAUAUAUAUAGUA
RNAcentral lists this transfer RNA (67 nucleotides) under Theretra japonica. RNAcentral's name for it is "tRNA-Leu". Lineage: Eukaryota; Metazoa; Arthropoda; Insecta; Lepidoptera; Sphingidae. The record is from RNAcentral.